AACGAUGAAGCCCACUUGUGGGUGGAUUAGUGGCGAACGGGUGAGUAACACGUGAGUAACCUGCCCUUGACUCUGGGAUAAGCCUGGGAAACCGGGUCUAAUACUGGAUACGACCUUCCCGCGCAUGCGGUGUUGGUGGAAAGCUUUUGUGGUUUUGGAUGGACUCGCGGCCUAUCAGCUUGUUGGUGGGGUAAUGGCCUACCAAGGCGACGACGGGUAGCCGGCCUGAGAGGGUGACCGGCCACACUGGGACUGAGACACGGCCCAGACUCCUACGGGAGGCAGCAGUGGGGAAUAUUGCACAAUGGGCGCAAGCCUGAUGCAGCGACGCCGCGUGAGGGAUGAAGGCCUUCGGGUUGUAAACCUCUUUCAGUAGGGAAGAAGCUGAUCUUUCGGGGUUGGUGACGGUACUUGCAGAAGAAGCGCCGGCUAACUACGUGCCAGCAGCCGCGGUAAUACGUAGGGCGCAAGCGUUAUCCGGAAUUAUUGGGCGUAAAGAGCUCGUAGGCGGUUUGUCGCGUCUGCCGUGAAAGUCCGGGGCUUAACCCCGGAUCUGCGGUGGGUACGGGCAGACUAGAGUGCAGUAGGGGAGACUGGAAUUCCUGGUGUAGCGGUGAAAUGCGCAGAUAUCAGGAGGAACACCGAUGGCGAAGGCAGGUCUCUGGGCUGUAACUGACGCUGAGGAGCGAAAGCAUGGGGAGCGAACAGGAUUAGAUACCC
RNAcentral lists this ribosomal RNA (720 nucleotides) under actinobacterium GM32. RNAcentral describes it as "bacterial SSU rRNA". It matches the Rfam family "Bacterial small subunit ribosomal RNA", at positions 65 to 787 of the family's 1533-position model. The record is from RNAcentral. Lineage: Bacteria; Bacillati; Actinomycetota; Actinomycetes.